GACGUAGGGCGCGAGCGUUAUCCGGAAUGAUUGGGCGUAAAGCGUCCGCAGGUGGCUAUGUAAGUCUGCUGUUAAAGAGUGAGGCUCAACCUCAUAAGAGCAGUGGAAACUACAUGGCUAGAGUGCGUUCGGGGCAGAGGGAAUUCCUGGUGUAGCGGUGAAAUGCGUAGAGAUCAGGAAGAACACCGGUGGCGAAAGCGCUCUGCUAGGCCGCAACUGACACUGAGGGACGAAAGCUAGGGGAGCGAAUGGG
Molecule: ribosomal RNA, 253 nt
Filed under: uncultured bacterium
Lineage: Bacteria
Description: partial 16S ribosomal RNA
Rfam family: Bacterial small subunit ribosomal RNA
Source: RNAcentral